UGCAAGUCGAGCGGAUGACGGGAGCUUGCUCCUUGAUUCAGCGGCGGACGGGUGAGUAAUGCCUAGGAAUCUGCCUGGUAGUGGGGGACAACGUUUCGAAAGGAACGCUAAUACCGCAUACGUCCUACGGGAGAAAGUGGGGGAUCUUCGGACCUCACGCUAUCAGAUGAGCCUAGGUCGGAUUAGCUAGUUGGUGAGGUAAUGGCUCACCAAGGCGACGAUCCGUAACUGGUCUGAGAGGAUGAUCAGUCACACUGGAACUGAGACACGGUCCAGACUCCUACGGGAGGCAGCAGUGGGGAAUAUUGGACAAUGGGCGAAAGCCUGAUCCAGCCAUGCCGCGUGUGUGAAGAAGGUCUUCGGAUUGUAAAGCACUUUAAGUUGGGAGGAAGGGCAGUAAGUUAAUACCUUGCUGUUUUGACGUUACCGACAGAAUAAGCACCGGCUAACUCUGUGCCAGCAGCCGCGGUAAUACAGAGGGUGCAAGCGUUAAUCGGAAUUACUGGGCGUAAAGCGCGCGUAGGUGGUUCGUUAAGUUGGAUGUGAAAGCCCCGGGCUCAACCUGGGAACUGCAUCCAAAACUGGCGAGCUAGAGUACGGUAGAGGGUGGUGGAAUUUCCUGUGUAGCGGUGAAAUGCGUAGAUAUAGGAAGGAACACCAGUGGCGAACGCGACCACCUGGACUGAUACUGACACUGAGU
Molecule: ribosomal RNA, 700 nt
Filed under: Pseudomonas putida
Lineage: Bacteria; Pseudomonadati; Pseudomonadota; Gammaproteobacteria; Pseudomonadales; Pseudomonadaceae
Description: bacterial SSU rRNA
Rfam family: Bacterial small subunit ribosomal RNA
Source: RNAcentral